This 566-nucleotide ribosomal RNA is filed under the name uncultured bacterium. RNAcentral's name for it is "partial 16S ribosomal RNA". It matches the Rfam family "Bacterial small subunit ribosomal RNA", at positions 355 to 914 of the family's 1533-position model. The record is from RNAcentral.
UGGGGAAUUUUGGACAAUGGGCGAAAGCCUGAUCCAGCAAUGCCGCGUGUGUGAAGAAAGCCUUCGGGUUGUAAAGCACUUUUGUCCGGAAAGAAAUCCUUGGCUCUAAUACAGUCGGGGGAUGACGGUACCGGAAGAAUAAGCACCGGCUAACUACGUGCCAGCAGCCGCGGUAAUACGUAGGGUGCAAGCGUUAAUCGGAAUUACUGGGCGUAAAGCGUGCGCAGGCGGUUUGCUAAGACCGAUGUGAAAUCCCCGGGCUCAACCUGGGAACUGCAUUGGUGACUGGCAGGCUAGAGUAUGGCAGAGGGGGGUAGAAUUCCACGUGUAGCAGUGAAAUGCGUAGAGAUGUGGAGGAAUACCGAUGGCGAAGGCAGCCCCCUGGGCCAAUACUGACGCUCAUGCACGAAAGCGUGGGGAGCAAACAGGAUUAGAUACCCUGGUAGUCCACGCCCUAAACGAUGUCAACUAGUUGUUGGGGAUUCAUUUCCUUAGUAACGUAGCUAACGCGUGAAGUUGACCGCCUGGGGAGUACGGUCGCAAGAUUAAAACUUAAAGGAAUUGAC